RNAcentral lists this ribosomal RNA (361 nucleotides) under uncultured bacterium. RNAcentral describes it as "bacterial SSU rRNA". It matches the Rfam family "Bacterial small subunit ribosomal RNA", at positions 29 to 416 of the family's 1533-position model. The record is from RNAcentral.
AACGAACGCUGGCGGCAUGCCUAACACAUGCAAGUCGAACGAGACCUUCGGGUCUAGUGGCGCACGGGUGCGUAACACGUGGGAAUUUGCCUCGGGGUAUGGAAUAACUUAGGGAAACUUGAGCUAAUACCAUAUAAUGUCUUCGGACCAAAGAUUUAUCGCCCUGAGAUAAGCCCGCGUAGGAUUAGCUAGUUGGUGAGGUAAAGGCUCACCAAGGCGACGAUCCUUAGCUGGUCUGAGAGGAUGAUCAGCCACACUGGGACUGAGACACGGCCCAGACUCCUACGGGAGGCAGCAGUGGGGAAGUAUUGGACAAUGGGCGAAAGCCUGAUCCAGCAAUGCCGCGUGAGUGAUGAAGGCC